This 460-nucleotide ribosomal RNA is filed under the name uncultured bacterium. RNAcentral describes it as "partial 16S ribosomal RNA". It matches the Rfam family "Bacterial small subunit ribosomal RNA", at positions 338 to 795 of the family's 1533-position model. The record is from RNAcentral.
CCUACGGGCGGCAGCAGUGAGGAAUAUUGGUCAAUGGACGCAAGUCUGAACCAGCCAUGCCGCGUGCAGGAUGACGGCUCUAUGAGUUGUAAACUGCUUUUGUACGAGGGUAAACCCGAAUACGUGUAUCGAGUUGAAAGUACUGUACGAAUAAGGAUCGGCUAACUCCGUGCCAGCAGCCGCGGUAAUACGGAGGAUCCGAGCGUUAUCCGGAUUUAUUGGGUUUAAAGGGUGCGUAGGCGGUUUGAUAAGUUAGAGGUGAAAUGUCGGGGCUCAACCCCGAAACUGCCUCUAAUACUGUUGGUCUAGAGAAUAGAUGCGGUAGGCGGAAUGUAUGGUGUAGCGGUGAAAUGCUUAGAGAUCAUACAGAACACCGAUUGCGAAGGCAGCUUACCAAUCUAUAUCUGACGUUGAGGCACGAAAGCGUGGGUAGCAAACAGGAUUAGAUACCCCAGUAGUC